GUUUUUUAAAGUUAUUUUGUGUUGUAGCCUACCGUCGCAGUUGUUGUUUGCCAAACUCAUUAAAAAAUGCAUUAAACGAUGUAGUAUGUCAACGCGAAGGCAACAGCCAACACAAAGUCAUUCAAACGAGAAAUUGUAAAAAAAAUUGUGUCGUGUGUUAUCAAUCGAAUGAAUUUAGUACAUGCAGCUAAACAUUGAUCUUUGAGAAUAGUUUUACUGAACAAUUCAUUUCUGGAGACCUCAAAAAUCUGUGGUUUAUGAUUAUUCAUUCUUUUCUAAAAUGUUAUUGAAUUUCAUUGUAUGAAUAGCUGUCGGUUUCGGGAGUUGCCGUUCUACAUCGCAAGGGUCUCUGAGGGGCUGUUUAUAUGAGACGUGCGGUCUGGCCCUAUAUUAGCCGGGCUAAAGCCCCCCCCCCCGGUCAAACGAAAAUGAAAGUUGAUGAGAGCUGGCAGUCACGAAUUGUUACAGUCGACAUUUCGAGGUCUAGAUUAACAAAAUGUAGAUUUCAUGAGUGUUUCAACUAUGUUUUAACUUCAAUAGAAUACAUGAUAGUGUUGGGAAAGCAUUAAGAACAGCUAACCAAGGUCACGUGACUGUCAACUCUCGUUUGAUCCAGGUUUAAGACUUCAACAAACCAAAAUUGACAAGAAAAACUCGUUGACGAGUUUAAUAGUGCGAGGUUUGUCACAAAAGUCAAAUUCAUUCUUUUUUCCUGCACAAAUUUCCGAGUUAAAACUACUUAAACAACAAGCACAAUUUAGAAGUUUAGAAAUCAAAAUUUGUCGAGAAAAAUAUCAAUUCAGAAAAAUAUUGUCAAUUCUAUAACAAUGUUUUUUGCUAGCACGGUUAAGUGACUUUGCAUGGAUAAAUUUCAGUCCAUGAUGUGCCCCGGUUGAACGCGCGGACUGGUCCAGUUUUCAUUGAAAGUGAAUUGUUUUGUAAAGAAAAUUUGUGUGAAGGCGAACGCCUCGUUUAACCGGGUCAACCAGCCAGUCGGACUCAUAUAAACAGCCUCUAUAACGAACUCAAAGAUAAGUUACUGUUGAGAAACAAAUAAUGAUUUUAUAAUGCGUGCUUUUUACUCAAAGGGGUCCGUCAUGACAGUUCAAAGCGUACGAGAUUUUGAAAUCAAGUUUAUUUCUGAGCUGAUUUUCUGAUCUUCGGCUGAUUUCAACAUUUCCUGAAGAUACCAAUUACAGCAUUUUUGGUAGAUUUCAAUGCCUGAAAAUACGUUUAAAACAUUGAGAACAAAAUACUGUUUUAUUUAUGAAAUAUCCGCUCUGAAAUACGCAAAAGUGAAACAAAGCUAGUUCUUGCAAUAUGGUGAUAUGUUUAGCCUUUUCUAAGAACUUACGUGUUUUCUGUAUGAUUUCAAAAUCAUCUGAUUUCUACUCAGUUAAUUAAAAUUUCUGCAUGGUUUUUAACCUGAGUUCUGAGUGGAGUGUACGCGAGAUAUCUGCCGUGACCGACCCCUCAUUUUGUUGCAAUACAAGAAUGUAUGUAAUUGUAUUCGAUACUGUACUACUAAUCAGCCAUUCACAAAGUAACAUGCGAACUUUAAGAAAAGUUAAGUAAUGUUUAAAACCUACAAUCAUUUUCAAAAGUUGUUUUCGGUUUUAGAUCAUCAGCGGAUAAAUGCAAAUUAUUACAAGCAUUUUUAUCUCCCGUCCCCCCUCAUUAAAUGUUGUUUAGCGAAUUCCAGACACUGUAUUACAUCAAAAUAAGAUGCUAACUGAGACCUAACAUUGAACAGGGAGGGGGAGCAAAGUUUUUCAAAAUAAUAUGUAGUUGAGGCAUCUGUCUCAACACAUUUGAAAAUAAUUGUAGUACAAGGUCUGGGAGUGACAGAAAAACCGUUGUUGAAAAACUUCUUGAAAACAGCUCUAAUUUGUUUUUACUGUCACCGUAUUAGAUCAAGCAUUGUUUAACUUAAUGUCGCUUAUAUAUCAACGUUUGAUGUCCUCAAAAUUUGAGCUUGCUUAAAGUUGAUGAGAGUUGACCAAAUACUCGAUGUUUGAUGAUGAUAGUUUACGAGAGCUGCAACUCUAAUCAACUUUUAUUCUCGUUUGCCAAUUAAAGGACAUUGGGUUAAUAUUAUAUAUUAACUGAAUGAUCAAAAAGUUUCUUUUGGUUUAUGUGGUUAAAUUAAUACUCUCAGAAGUUUUCGACAUUUCAAAUUUGCAUGCCAUGACGUUUUUCAUUCAAUUCAUUAACAAGCCAAAAAAAACUAAAAUAUUCUUUAAGACAUAUUAAAAAGUUUAAAAAAACUUUCAUUAAGUUUUGAAAGUUCUUUCUAACGAUAUUAAACUACAUGUCAACUUGUCCUAUAUGAACUUAAACUUUACAUGUCGACCAAUGUCCUUUUAAAAGUUUCAAACUAAGAUGGCCGGCUAAAUGUGGACAAAGUCUUUAGUAUGCUCUUUUAGUAAAGUAAAAUGAAUUUAUUACCACAAUAAUAGUAGGAUUAUGCAUUUAUUGCUAUUGUAUAUAGAGUUUCAUUAAGUAAUUAUUGAUCUUAUUGUAAUAUAUAGCGUCCGUUGUAAUGGACAAUCCUGUUGAAGCGAAGUUGAUCAUUGUAGUUUUACACUUUUACUAUGAUAAAUAUAAUCAUCGAAAAAAGUUUCCAUUAAUUGUAAAAGAAAUGAAAAAUUAAAGAUCUGUCACAUCG
Molecule: long non-coding RNA, 2668 nt
Filed under: Paramuricea clavata
Lineage: Eukaryota; Metazoa; Cnidaria; Anthozoa; Malacalcyonacea; Plexauridae
Source: RNAcentral